Molecule: ribosomal RNA, 253 nt
Filed under: uncultured bacterium
Lineage: Bacteria
Description: partial 16S ribosomal RNA
Rfam family: Bacterial small subunit ribosomal RNA
Source: RNAcentral
UACAGAGGUCUCAAGCGUUGUUCGGAUUCAUUGGGCGUAAAGGGCGCGUAGGCGGCGGGGUAAGUCGGGUGUGAAAUCUCGGAGCUUAACUCCGAAACUGCAUUCGAUACUGCCGUGCUUGAGGACUGGAGAGGAGACUGGAAUUUACGGUGUAGCGGUGAAAUGCGUAGAUAUCGUAAGGAAGACCAGUGGCGAAGGCGGGUCUCUGGACAGUUCCUGACGCUGAGGCACGAAGGCCAGGGGAGCAAACGGG